Molecule: long non-coding RNA, 1573 nt
Filed under: Nicotiana tabacum (common tobacco)
Lineage: Eukaryota; Viridiplantae; Streptophyta; Magnoliopsida; Solanales; Solanaceae
Description: long non-coding RNA (NTAB_LNC006908)
Source: RNAcentral
AAAAAAGAAAAAUCAUACCCUCUCUCAUACGAAAAACGAAAACGGUGCAUCUGAGUUCGGUUCUUCUCCAUUUUUUCCUUCUUCUUAUCCAUUUUAACUUUGGCUAUAAUACACACCCCUCCUUAACACACACACACGCUGAAGCCUCUAGCAACAAGUGGGAAUUAAAAAGUUUAGAGCUAAAAUUCAAAGAUUGCAAAGCUGAUUUUCAGUUUUAAAUCCUUGUCUUCUCUCACAUUUUUUGGGGAUUUUAGAGCUUGGUGGAGCUUUAGAACUUGUUUCGAAGAUGAGAGGUUGAUUUAAAUUCUAGUCAUUGUUCAAUUCCGCUGAUUUUUACUGUUUCUGGAAUUGCUGAGCUCUAAUCGGGUUAGUUUUCUACCUUUAGUUGAUUUAUUCAAGCUUUCUUUAUUUACCCAUGUUAGUUUGAAAUUUCUCUAUAUUAUUCUUUUAGUAAGUGAUUAAACAAUUGAUUUCAUACUUAGCUUUGAAGAUCUUGUGUUAUUUUCAUGAAACAUGAUGCCUAUUAGAAUUAAUUUGGUCACCUGCUACGUUUUUUUUCAUUAAUACAAGCUUUAAUCCUUAUGUUUGUGUAAAUAGUGUAAUAAUUUCAUUAAUCAACUAUAAGGAUUGACUUUAUUAGCUACUCUGCAUACAUCACUUACAGGAUGGUAGCUCCUUCCCUUAUGCCCCUCAGAAAAGCAAGAGCUACUGCUAAAUCAGAAGGAGUGUAUAGGACUAGAGUCUGGUCUUUUAGCAUUUAACCCUUUUAUGCCAAGAAUUUUGAUGUUCAAAAAGUAAUUACACGAAGGAGGUUUUUCUUAAACAGAUAUUUGAGUGGAAUACGUAGUGAGUUAUGUACAGAAAAUAUUUUUGUGUAUCUUAAACACGUUAGAAAAAUAUUUGUAAUAUUUGCUCUUCAUAUCUUCUACUGCUUAUUGAUGUUCUAAGAGGGUAAAUAAAAAUAUUCUUGUUGGUAUAUUAGGGUAAUUUGAUAUUAGUUGCUAAGACACUAUGACUUGCAUUCAGAGAUUUCAAAUUACGCUCCAAGCAUGCUUGUUAACAGAGAAAGAGCAGAAUAUAAUUAAUAAGAUAUUGGAUUUUAAAUCUCUAAUUUUUGAAAUUGCAGUACGUAUCGAGGAAACUCUAUUUCCUGCUUGAAAAUUGUAGCAGUUCAAAUGUUAAUAAUGCAAUUGCAACAUUUAAGCAUUCCAUUCUUUUAGCUGUCAUGACCAAAUCUUAGCAAUCUUUGCCUUUGUGAUAAGAUUUGUACUUUUGAAGUUCCUAACUGAUAGAACAAUUUAAACAUCCAUUCAAGCACCUAUUUUUAAUGCAUAAGGAAGGUGAGUUUUACCUACAAGCUGUAUGGAGCAUUCUUGAACUAGUUAGGCAUAAUUUUCAUUUGCUUGCCUAUGUGAAGUUUCAUGAGGUUUCUUCUUUGUUGCAGAUUUUUCACCCAGUGGAACCAAAUAAUAAAACUUCUUAUUAGUUUACUUGCUUAUUUCUUUGAGGUUUAAGGUAGAGCUUAUUGUAAUUCAACUUCUUUGUAGAUAUUAAUUAAUAAACAUCGUAGCUU